UGCCAGCCUCCGCUGUACCACUUAAUUUGCAAGCGUUGUUCGGAUUCAUUGGGCGUAAAGGGCAUGUAGGCGGCAUGACAAGUCAGGUGUGAAAUAUCUCGGCUCAACCGAGAAAACGCACUGGAAACUGUCAAGCUUGAGUAUCGGAGGGGAAGCUAGAAUUCCUGGUGUAGGGGUGAAAUCUGUAGAUAUCAGGAAGAAUACCGGUGGCGAAGGCGAGCUUCUGGCCAGAUACUGACGCUGAGAUGCGAAAGCGUGGGGAGCGAACAGGAUUAGAUA
Molecule: ribosomal RNA, 279 nt
Filed under: uncultured bacterium
Lineage: Bacteria
Description: partial 16S ribosomal RNA
Rfam family: Bacterial small subunit ribosomal RNA
Source: RNAcentral